Molecule: ribosomal RNA, 700 nt
Filed under: Ceriporia excelsa
Lineage: Eukaryota; Fungi; Basidiomycota; Agaricomycetes; Polyporales; Irpicaceae
Description: partial small subunit ribosomal RNA
Rfam family: Bacterial small subunit ribosomal RNA
Source: RNAcentral
CAGCAGUCAAGAAUAUUAGUCAAUGCUCGAAAGAGUGAACUAGCUAACUGAAAUCACUUUAGAAGUGAUAAUGUAAGGGAAAAUAAAUGAUAUUACCUUACUAUAAGUGUUGUCAAAACUGGUGCCAGAAGACUCGGUAAGGCCAGAAACGCGAACGUUAGUCAUCUAAAACAGGCGUAAAGGGUUUGUAGGCAGCUUUGAAAUCCUGAUUUUUAAAAAAUAGCCAGCCGUCGCAGUAUAUUCACCCUGCCGCUUUGCAUCGCAAAGCGGGGCGCGCUAUAAUAUAAUAUAUAGUAGCAUCACGUUAACCGCUUUGCGAAUGCCAAAGCGAGAGGGAGGGAAUAACGUACCGUAUGGAUAUAAAAAAAGAGGGAAAUUAGAAGAUAGAAUCAAAUAUAGGAAAAUUCGAAUAAAUUCUAGAAGAGGGUUAAUAUCCGAAGAUACUAGAAUGAAUGCUUAAGGCGAAGGCCUUUUUCCAUAAAUGAUUGACGCUCAGAAACGAAGGAUAGGAUAGGAAACAGGAUUAGAUACCCUGGUACCCCUUUCAGUCAACGAUGAAUGGUAGUCACUAAUUAAAGUAUUGGUGUCAAUGUUAACACGUUAACCAUUCCGCCUUGUGAGUACGAUUGCAAAGUUGAAAACAAAAAAAUUAGUCGGUCUCGAAGCAAACAAGGAGCGAUUAUUUAAUUCGAUGAUCCGC